UACGUAGGGUGCGAGCGUUAAUCGGAAUUACUGGGCGUAAAGCGUGCGUAGGCGGUUCGUUGUGUCUGUGGUGAAAGCCCCGGGCUUAACCUGGGAAUGGCCAUGGAAACUGGCGAGCUGGAGUGUGGCAGGGGGGGGUGGAAUUCCGCGUGUAGCAGUGAAAUGCGUAGAGAUGCGGAGGAACACCGAUGGCGAAGGCAGCCCCCUGGGCUAACACUGACGCUGAGGCACGAAAGCGUGGGGAGCAAACAGG
RNAcentral lists this ribosomal RNA (253 nucleotides) under uncultured bacterium. Its description in RNAcentral is "partial 16S ribosomal RNA". It matches the Rfam family "Bacterial small subunit ribosomal RNA", at positions 524 to 776 of the family's 1533-position model. The record is from RNAcentral.